RNAcentral lists this ribosomal RNA (421 nucleotides) under uncultured bacterium. RNAcentral's name for it is "bacterial SSU rRNA". It matches the Rfam family "Bacterial small subunit ribosomal RNA", at positions 355 to 792 of the family's 1533-position model. The record is from RNAcentral.
UGGGGAAUAUUGGGCAAUGGGGGAAACCCUGACCCAGCAACGCCGCGUGGAGGAAGAAGGUCUUCGGAUCGUAAACUCCUGUCCUCAGAGACGAGAAGAAGACGGUAUCUGAGGAGGAAGCCCCGGCUAACUACGUGCCAGCAGCCGCGGUAAUACGUAGGGGGCAAGCGUUGUCCGGAAUGAUUGGGCGUAAAGGGCGCGUAGGCGGCCCGGUAAGUCUGGAGUGAAAGUCCUGCUUUUAAGGUGGGAAUUGCUUUGGAUACUGUCGGGCUUGAGUGCAGGAGAGGUAAGUGGAAUCCCAGUGUAGCGGUGAAAUGCGUAGAGAUUGGGAGGAACACCAGUGGCGAAGGCGACUUACUGGACUGUAACUGACGCUGAGGCGCGAAAGUGUGGGGAGCAAACAGGAUUAGAUACCCUGGUA